CCUACGGGCGUCAGCCGUGGGGAAUAUUGCACAAUGGGGGAAACCCUGCUGCCGCGACGCCGCGUGAGUGAAGAAGUAAUUCUUUAUGUAAAGCUCUAUCAGCAGGGAAGAAAAUGACGGUACCUGAGUACGACGCCCCGGCUCACUCCGUGCCAGCCGCCGCGGUCAUACGUAGGGGGCAAGCGUUAUCCGGAUUUACUGGGUGUAAAGGGAGCGUAGACGGCAGUGCAAGUCUGGAGUGAAAGGCGGGGGCUCAACCCCCGGACUGCUCUGGAAACUGUACGGCUGGAGUGCAGGAGAGGUAAGUGGAAUUCCUAGUGUAGCGGUGAAAUGCGUAGAUAUUAGGAGGAACACCAGUGGCGAAGGCGGCUUACUGGACUGUAACUGACGUUGAGGCUCGAAAGCGUGGGGAGCAAACAGGAUUAGAUACCCGAGUAGUC
This 440-nucleotide ribosomal RNA is filed under the name uncultured bacterium. RNAcentral describes it as "partial 16S ribosomal RNA". It matches the Rfam family "Bacterial small subunit ribosomal RNA", at positions 338 to 795 of the family's 1533-position model. The record is from RNAcentral.